RNAcentral lists this ribosomal RNA (347 nucleotides) under fungal sp. CRS5667T18-1. RNAcentral describes it as "SSU rRNA". It matches the Rfam family "Eukaryotic small subunit ribosomal RNA", at positions 21 to 370 of the family's 1831-position model. Lineage: Eukaryota; Fungi. The record is from RNAcentral.
UGUAGUCAUAUGCUUGUCUCAAAGAUUAAGCCAUGCAUGUCUAAGUAUAAGCAAUUAUACCGUGAAACUGCGAAUGGCUCAUUAAAUCAGUUAUCGUUUAUUUGAUAGUACCUUACUACUUGGAUAACCGUGGUAAUUCUAGAGCUAAUACAUGCUGAAAACCCCAACUUCGGGAGGGGUGUAUUUAUUAGAUAAAAAACCAACGCCCUUCGGGGCUUCUUGGUGAUUCAUGAUAACUUUACGGAUCGCAUGGCCUUGCGCCGGCGACGGUUCAUUCAAAUUUCUGCCCUAUCAACUUUCGAUGGUAAGGUAUUGGCUUACCAUGGUUUCAACGGGUAACGGGGAAU